UUCUCUCUUAUUUUCUCUCCUCUUCUUUCUUUCUCUCUCUUCAUCUCUCUCUUGUGACAGGUAGAUCCCACUAAUGAUGGAUUUCUCCCAUUCUCUCUUCCUCUCUGUGUCCUCAAAUAAACCUCAGUAAAAGAUCGUAAGCUGAUCUGCUUGCUACACAAUGUGUCAGUCCUCAUGCAAGCCUUUGUCGGGCAUCACUAGACUUUAUCAUCAUCAACCUCUCUAUUGUAUUAUCAUUAUCUUGAUCUGACUCUCAUUCAUAAAUUGACCAGUUAGAUUACCUAAUUACACCAACCUGGGUCUCUGGAUCCCGCCACUCACCCUGCUCUAUUCCCUUCAGCUCUUACUCCUAGUUUCCUACAAUUGCCGAUACCUUUUUUUGUUAUUUAACUUGAUUCUAUGUGCAUGUACAAUCAUAUGGACAAGAGAAAGUCCAACAAGGAGGUACUACAUUAUAGUUUUU
This 463-nucleotide long non-coding RNA is filed under the name Elaeis guineensis (African oil palm). RNAcentral describes it as "long non-coding RNA (EGUI_LNC040744)". The record is from RNAcentral. Lineage: Eukaryota; Viridiplantae; Streptophyta; Magnoliopsida; Arecales; Arecaceae.